CUGUCAUAUUCAACCCAUAUCAAGUAGCAUGUACACAAUUUCAAUAUCAUCAUGUCAUUUAAAGCACCAUUUACACAGGGAAUACAACAUUUAAUUACACAGGAAUACAUCAUCUACACAAUUUGCCUUAACUUACUACAUCACAUUGUUCAACUCGUAUUAGCACAUCUGGUACUGUCCUACAAGAACAUAACAUUGUUCAACUCGUACAAGUAGUAAAAACUUCAUUGUUCCCUCUGAUGUGCUCCAGAUGCGACAACUUGCCUUCCUACAAGAACAUAACAUUACAUGAAUUGAUCAAUCAAGGAGGAAAGGGAAAAAAAUAGGCUCAAAGCAUCACGCAUACAAAUAAUAACAUAAUACAUUAAUGUAUAAUGUAAUAAAAAAUAUGUAUAAUCAGGGCAAUUUCUAGCCAACAUGCGUACAUGAAUCAGAGUAGAACUAGCAAGAGGUAUAAUUAGCGGCAAACAACAAGUAUCAGUCAAAGCAGUACCAAGUAACUGGCAGCAAGCUCUCAAACAGGCAAUGCUAAUGUUUUGGCACAAUUGCUAGAAGUACAUGUUAUUUUGGAAAAGUGAGUAAGAGCUAUGAUAUUUUCCUAUAUGUACUUUCUGAUUUUCUUAGUCAUAUAGUGAUCUGCUCAUUUCAGUUCUAUCUACUCACCCCAUUCACAUGCAACAUAAGAAGCUGGUGUAGAACGCCAUCUUAACCACAUUCGCAGCAACGGAAGCAACAUAAACUGGUGUAGAGAAAGAGG
RNAcentral lists this long non-coding RNA (757 nucleotides) under Triticum aestivum (bread wheat). RNAcentral describes it as "long non-coding RNA (TAES_LNC018420)". The record is from RNAcentral. Lineage: Eukaryota; Viridiplantae; Streptophyta; Magnoliopsida; Poales; Poaceae.